RNAcentral lists this ribosomal RNA (253 nucleotides) under uncultured bacterium. Its description in RNAcentral is "partial 16S ribosomal RNA". It matches the Rfam family "Bacterial small subunit ribosomal RNA", at positions 524 to 776 of the family's 1533-position model. The record is from RNAcentral.
UACGUAGGUGGCAAGCGUUGCCCGGAUUUACUGGGCGUAAAGAGCGCGCAGGCGGUCGUUCAAGUCGCGUGUGAAAGCCCCCGGCUCAACUGGGGAGGGUCACGCGAUACUGAUCGACUCGAAGGCAGGAGAGGGUAGUGGAAUUCCCGGUGUAGUGGUGAAAUGCGUAGAUAUCGGGAGGAACACCAGUGGCGAAGGCGACUACCUGGCCUGUUCUUGACGCUGAGGCGCGAAAGCUAGGGGAGCAAACGGG